GAAAUGCGAUAAGUAAUGUGAAUUGCAGAAUUCAGUGAAUCAUCGAAUCUUUGAACGCACAUUGCACCCCCUGGUAUUCCGGGGGGCAUGCCUGUUCGAGCGUCAUUUCACCACUCAAGCCUCGCUUGGUAUUGGGCGACGCGGUCCGCCGCGCGCCUCAAAUCGACCGGCUGGGUCUUUCGUCCCCUCAGCGUUGUGGAAACUAUUCGCUAAAGGGUGCCGCGGGAGGCUACGCCGUAAAACAACCCCAUUUCUAAGGUUGACCUCGGAUCAGGUAGGGAUACCCGCUGAACUUAAGC
This 299-nucleotide unclassified non-coding RNA is filed under the name plant metagenome. RNAcentral describes it as "partial contains 5.8S ribosomal RNA, internal transcribed spacer 2, and large subunit ribosomal RNA". The stretch from base 1 to 105 matches the Rfam family "5.8S ribosomal RNA", at positions 50 to 154 of the family's 154-position model. The record is from RNAcentral.